GCCGGCCUAGCUCAAUUGGUAGAGCAACUGACUUGUAAUCAGUAGUUGGGGGUUCAAGUCCUCUGGCCGGCACCA
This 75-nucleotide transfer RNA is filed under the name Staphylococcus epidermidis FS1. RNAcentral's name for it is "tRNA-Thr". It matches the Rfam family "tRNA". Rfam says of the family: Transfer RNA (tRNA) molecules are approximately 80 nucleotides in length. Their secondary structure includes four short double-helical elements and three loops (D, anti-codon, and T loops). Further hydrogen bonds mediate the characteristic L-shaped molecular structure. tRNAs have two regions of fundamental functional importance: the anti-codon, which is responsible for specific mRNA codon recognition, and the 3' end, to which the tRNAs corresponding amino acid is attached (by aminoacyl-tRNA synthetases). tRNAs cope with the degeneracy of the genetic code in two manners: having more than one tRNA (with a specific anti-codon) for a particular amino acid; and 'wobble' base-pairing, i.e. permitting non-standard base-pairing at the 3rd anti-codon position. The record is from RNAcentral. Lineage: Bacteria; Bacillati; Bacillota; Bacilli; Caryophanales; Staphylococcaceae.